AGCAGCCGCCACGGGAACACGUAGGUGGCAAGCGUUGUCCGGAAUUAUUGGGCGUAAAGCGCGCGCAGGCGGAUAGGUCAGUCUGUCUUAAAAGUUCGGGGCUUAACCCCGUGAUGGGAUGGAAACUGCCAAUCUAGAGUAUCGGAGAGGAAAGUGGAAUUCCUAGUGUAGCGGUGAAAUGCGUAGAUAUUAGGAAGAACACCAGUGGCGAAGGCGACUUUCUGGACGAAAACUGACGCUGAGGCGCGAAAGCCAGGGGAGCGAACGGGAUUAGAUACCCCAGUAGUCCCUGUCUCUUAUACA
This 303-nucleotide ribosomal RNA is filed under the name uncultured bacterium. Its description in RNAcentral is "partial 16S ribosomal RNA". It matches the Rfam family "Bacterial small subunit ribosomal RNA", at positions 507 to 809 of the family's 1533-position model. The record is from RNAcentral.